CAUUUCAUCUCCAGUGAAGUGUAACAUCGCUGCAGGCUUAUUUUAUUGAAGAGUAUUCCUAAAAUAUUUGAAAUGAUCCAGUAGGCAGUGAAUUAUUCAGCAGAUCAUGGUGCUAUAAGGAUACAGCUAGCAAGGCCUAAGUUCUCGCUCACAAACCCCAGCAGGUUAUUGUAGUUGUGAGCGAGUAGCUGUGGGGAUAUAAGCAGAGACAGGCGUGAGUUUCAAGUCAUUUGUUAAUGUGUCUAAUUUGCCAUCAUGGUUUUCAUGCUAAUGUAGUUUGUCGUUUGCAUGAAUGCAGUUUUUACAACUUUACACGCAACAUUGUUUGCUGGUUAUUGGUCAGAUUUAGCCCAGCGUUCAUGGCUGGAUCUACCAGUAGCAGUGGAAUCACCUUUUUUCUGUGCUUUCCUGGCCGUUUGGCUGAAGUUGAGAUUUAGCUCAUGACCCCUGGCACCUGUAGAAGCUAGAUUUCCUCUGUUGAGUGUCGGUUCUGAGACACGCCAGUGUGUUGCUGAAGGUGAAAUCCCAAGGUACCAAGAAGUGCAUCCGAUUACACUCUGGCUUCACCUGUUUGGACUUCAUCAGUGAAGUCAAAGACAAGUUUGGGACUCCCAGCUGCAUCUGAACUGCACAUUUGUGAUGAAAGUGACACGGCAGUGGAGGAAGACAUCCUUCUUGAACUGAUGGAGGCCAAUCCUGACUUAUGCCUGACAGUACGUGACGGUGAGUCUGAUGAAGAUCAAUCAGCAUCAUCUUCCCUCACGGAUAUCCUGUCACCUUCAAGUGACAAUGAGCUCUUUAGUCGACGCUCCAGAGACAGACCUGUUCAUCACUUCAGAGACGGGAACCCACCUACCACAGUGUUUUCUGAGGCUGAGGCUGCAAAAGAGAUGGUAGAAAAUGCCUUGGUUAUGAAACCUGGAGGUCAAGAUGUCAGAGAAAUCGCUGAGUCAUCGGACCCGGAGACAGCUGGUCAACACAUUGGCCAGCCAUAUGACUGAGAUGCGCGGGGAAGUGCGUCUUAAACUGUUUAAACCAUUUUUAGACUGAAGUGUUUUAUAUGGAGUGAAUGUAAUGAUUUUAUUUAAAUGAAGGGCAUUGAGUUGGUGCCCUGUAGUCUGUAGUAGGACAUGUUUAUUAUUAUUUUUUAAAUAUUGCUUUUGCUUUAAAGGAGGACUCCAUCCCGUAAACAGAAGGAGAAGUAUGCCCUGGGGAUCAUUCCACUCUUUCCUCCACUGAAGGAUCCUUUUUCUCCAAAGGGCUGUGGAAGUUUAAGAAAGUACUUACUUUCAGAAAUGAUACUAGUUUUACGUAGAGACAGAACUCGAAGUGUCAGAAGGGGUAAAAUGCUUUAAACACUUGAGCUCAAUUUUAGAUCUUGUUUACCUGCCACUUUAGGUAGUGAGCUCUACAAACUACUACCCACUAAUUUCCAUUAUUUCUUGGGCCAAUUUAAAUUGUUGUUCAGGUGGUCAAGUAUUGAUCUCUUGG
Molecule: RNA transcript, 1491 nt
Organism: Pygocentrus nattereri (red-bellied piranha)
Lineage: Eukaryota; Metazoa; Chordata; Actinopteri; Characiformes; Serrasalmidae
Exons: 4
Source: RefSeq, a predicted model, not a curated record